CGUAAACAGUUUUCAAUUAUUGGUUCGAGAUGGUAGUACAGAAUAUAGAGAAAUUAUAAUACAAAGUUCGACUUCAACAAAUACUUACCAUGCUGAUAAAGGAAGAUGAUAAUGGUGGCUUUCAAUUUAAAUUACGUGCAUUCUUCGCUUUAGUUGCUUCACAUCGUUGGCGUUGACAAUGUCGUGCAGAUUGUGUCGUAAUAAUUAUCUAUAAUUCUUAUUAAAAAUAAGUUAUAAAACCACAAAUAUGUUGCACGUUCAUUUGGAUUGAAAAUAAUUGGUUGGUGGCACAAUGUUUGGACGAAAUAAUGGAUGGAAAAUUAUACAGAAAUAUUUUGGCAUGGAAGAACUUCGUAUACUGGAUCUUCAACUGAUAAAUCGAUAAAUAAAAUAGUAUUCAGGAUUGAUAACGUGAAAUGGUUCGAUGAUGAUAAGCUUUGAUGACCUUAAUUGUGGUGAAGAUGAAAAGUCUGUACCACACAAAAAGGUAGACGAUUAGACCGUUUGGACCUUUGUAUCCUGCUUGAUGUAUUUCGAUAACGUGAAAUUGUUCUAUGAUGAUGGUUAUGCGUUGAUGGCCUUUAUUGGGAUGGUGAUCUACCACGCAACAUGGUGGAAAAGUUGACUAGUUUCGUAUCCUGUGGGACGUCUUUUCGGCAAUUUUUUUAAAAGUUUGUAAAUGAAAGGGUUUUAUUGAAUUGGUUUUUAUAACUUUAUUUGCAAGAAACUCGUUUCUCUUCGAAUAUAUUGUGUUAUUUUCAAGAAUUGAAUUUAUGAAUAGGUAUUUUUAUUCUUUCUUGGAAUGUUUUCAUUUUCGCUUGAGGUAAAAAAAAAAUACAGGAAAUAAGUCAAUUUAUCAAUAGUACUUUCAUGUUUAACACAUUUUUUUAUUUCUUUUUAAAAAAUAUAUUUAAUAAUUUGUUUCUUAUUAUCUAAUUGUGUAAUAUU
This is a long non-coding RNA of Agrilus planipennis (emerald ash borer), 948 nucleotides long. RefSeq lists it as uncharacterized. The transcript is spliced from 5 exons. The record is from RefSeq and is a predicted model, not a curated record. NCBI's taxonomy places the organism in Eukaryota, Metazoa, Arthropoda, Insecta, Coleoptera, Buprestidae.